AUGGAUGUUGGGUCUCCCUUCCGGCCGUGGCCCACGUACGACCCCUUUUCCCUUCAAGUCAGGACCUCGGGGAACUUUCACAAGAUGGGUCCUCGGAGCCUGGCUGCGAUUGCCCUCCCAAGGGGUGCUGCUGCGGAGGAUAGGCGCGCUGGUCAAGACCAAAGCGAACGGGAUGACGCCACCGGAGGGCGCGCGGGGCCGCGGGGUAGGGCGGUUCUGCUGCUGCAGGCUUCAGGCCUCUUCUGCCUUCUACAGCGGCCAGGUCAGCAGAGGCGGAGGCCCGGCUGUGGAUGGCCUAGGAGCCGAAGUCGUGAAGCCACGUUCCUCCUACUGCUCUUAACCCAGGCGCGGCGACUUGCCGACCAGCUCCCCUCACUCCGAAACCCCAUGGCAACAAAGGGCCUUGUGCUCACUCUAGCAGAGCGUCCUGCCUUUGUCUCUGAUCCAGCCUGGUGCGUCAGUCUCUGCAAACAAAAGAUGUGGUCACCCGGCCACUUAUCCCUGCCCCCACCAAAGCAGUAAUGAAGGCUGAGGCCUCUCCAAUUGAGCUGAGCCAGGAAAGCAGCAGACAGACAGGAAGCCCUUCUGCAGCAGGAGCUGUAACUGAUUCAGUCUCUGCCUCUGUAACCUUCCAGUUGAGCUGGAGAUGCUGAAGCUCCUGGAUCCUCUGUGCUUCUUCAUCUGAACACUCUCUGGGUGAGCUCAUCCAUGCUUUCAGCUUCAAUUCCCACCUCCCAGAGGAAGACUUCUAGAGAAG
RNAcentral lists this long non-coding RNA (757 nucleotides) under Rhinopithecus bieti (black snub-nosed monkey). Its description in RNAcentral is "lncRNA (ENSRBIG00000045415.1)". Lineage: Eukaryota; Metazoa; Chordata; Mammalia; Primates; Cercopithecidae. The record is from RNAcentral.